ACUCCUACGGGAGGCAGCAGUAAGGAAUAUUGCGCAAUGGGCGAAAGCCUGACGCAGCGACGCCGCGUGGGGGAUGAAGGUCUUCGGAUUGUAAACCCCUUUCGGGAGGGAAGAUGGAGCGAGCAAUCGUUCGGACGGUACCUCCAGAAGCAGCCACGGCCAACUUCGUGCCAGCAGCCGCGGUAAU
Molecule: ribosomal RNA, 187 nt
Filed under: uncultured bacterium
Lineage: Bacteria
Description: partial 16S ribosomal RNA
Rfam family: Bacterial small subunit ribosomal RNA
Source: RNAcentral